GGAGAGAUGACCGAGCGGUCGAAGGUGCGCGCCUGGAAAGCGCGUGUGCCCCGACAAGGGGCACCGAGGGUUCGAAUCCCUCUCUCUCCGCCA
Molecule: transfer RNA, 93 nt
Filed under: Zetaproteobacteria bacterium
Lineage: Bacteria; Pseudomonadati; Pseudomonadota; Candidatius Mariprofundia
Description: tRNA-Ser
Rfam family: tRNA
About the family: Transfer RNA (tRNA) molecules are approximately 80 nucleotides in length. Their secondary structure includes four short double-helical elements and three loops (D, anti-codon, and T loops). Further hydrogen bonds mediate the characteristic L-shaped molecular structure. tRNAs have two regions of fundamental functional importance: the anti-codon, which is responsible for specific mRNA codon recognition, and the 3' end, to which the tRNAs corresponding amino acid is attached (by aminoacyl-tRNA synthetases). tRNAs cope with the degeneracy of the genetic code in two manners: having more than one tRNA (with a specific anti-codon) for a particular amino acid; and 'wobble' base-pairing, i.e. permitting non-standard base-pairing at the 3rd anti-codon position.
Source: RNAcentral